UAUGAGAGUUUGAUCCUGGCUCAGGACGAACGCUGGCGGCGUGCCUAAUACAUGCAAGUCGUACGCUUCUUUUUCCACCGGAGCUUGCUCCACCGGAAAAAGAAGAGUGGCGAACGGGUGAGUAACACGUGGGUAACCUGCCCAUCAGAAGGGGAUAACACUUGGAAACAGGUGCUAAUACCGUAUAACAAUCGAAACCGCAUGGUUUUGAUUUGAAAGGCGCUUUCGGGUGUCGCUGAUGGAUGGACCCGCGGUGCAUUAGCUAGUUGGUGAGGUAACGGCUCACCAAGGCCACGAUGCAUAGCCGACCUGAGAGGGUGAUCGGCCACAUUGGGACUGAGACACGGCCCAAACUCCUACGGGAGGCAGCAGUAGGGAAUCUUCGGCAAUGGACGAAAGUCUGACCGAGCAACGCCGCGUGAGUGAAGAAGGUUUUCGGAUCGUAAAACUCUGUUGUUAGAGAAGAACAAGGAUGAGAGUAACUGUUCAUCCCUUGACGGUAUCUAACCAGAAAGCCACGGCUAACUACGUGCCAGCAGCCGCGGUAAUACGUAGGUGGCAAGCGUUGUCCGGAUUUAUUGGGCGUAAAGCGAGCGCAGGCGGUUUCUUAAGUCUGAUGUGAAAGCCCCCGGCUCAACCGGGGAGGGUCAUUGGAAACUGGGAGACUUGAGUGCAGAAGAGGAGAGUGGAAUUCCAUGUGUAGCGGUGAAAUGCGUAGAUAUAUGGAGGAACACCAGUGGCGAAGGCGGCUCUCUGGUCUGUAACUGACGCUGAGGCUCGAAAGCGUGGGGAGCAAACAGGAUUAGAUACCCUGGUAGUCCACGCCGUAAACGAUGAGUGCUAAGUGUUGGAGGGUUUCCGCCCUUCAGUGCUGCAGCUAACGCAUUAAGCACUCCGCCUGGGGAGUACGACCGCAAGGUUGAAACUCAAAGGAAUUGACGGGGGCCCGCACAAGCGGUGGAGCAUGUGGUUUAAUUCGAAGCAACGCGAAGAACCUUACCAGGUCUUGACAUCCUUUGACCACUCUAGAGAUAGAGCUUCCCCUUCGGGGGCAAAGUGACAGGUGGUGCAUGGUUGUCGUCAGCUCGUGUCGUGAGAUGUUGGGUUAAGUCCCGCAACGAGCGCAACCCUUAUUGUUAGUUGCCAUCAUUCAGUUGGGCACUCUAGCAAGACUGCCGGUGACAAACCGGAGGAAGGUGGGGAUGACGUCAAAUCAUCAUGCCCCUUAUGACCUGGGCUACACACGUGCUACAAUGGGAAGUACAACGAGUCGCGAAGUCGCGAGGCUAAGCUAAUCUCUUAAAGCUUCUCUCAGUUCGGAUUGUAGGCUGCAACUCGCCUACAUGAAGCCGGAAUCGCUAGUAAUCGCGGAUCAGCACGCCGCGGUGAAUACGUUCCCGGGCCUUGUACACACCGCCCGUCACACCACGAGAGUUUGUAACACCCGAAGUCGGUGAGGUAACCUUUUGGAGCCAGCCGCCUAAGGUGGGAUAGAUGAUUGGGGUGAAGUCGUAACAAGGUAGCCGUAUCGGAAGGUGCGGCUGGAUCACCUCCUUUCUAAGGAA
Molecule: ribosomal RNA, 1565 nt
Filed under: Bacteroides fragilis
Lineage: Bacteria; Pseudomonadati; Bacteroidota; Bacteroidia; Bacteroidales; Bacteroidaceae
Also listed under: 3 other names
Description: bacterial SSU rRNA
Rfam family: Bacterial small subunit ribosomal RNA
Source: RNAcentral